Molecule: long non-coding RNA, 1521 nt
Filed under: Brassica napus (rape)
Lineage: Eukaryota; Viridiplantae; Streptophyta; Magnoliopsida; Brassicales; Brassicaceae
Description: long non-coding RNA (BNAP_LNC022053)
Source: RNAcentral
AGUAGAGUUUAGUGUUUAGGGUUUAUAUUUGGGUUUACGGUUUAGUAAUUUCCUUCUCAAACUAGAGUUUAAAGUUUAGGGUUUAUAUGUCAUGUCUUCAAAUUUGAUAUUUCUCUUCUAUGCCCUUUGUAUGAUUGCUCGUAAUAUAAAAUUAGUUUCAUUUAAAUGUUUGACAAUGUUAGGGUCAUGUUUAGUUCAAGAACGUCUUUUUCAUCAACAAGUACUUUUAUUUUUUCUCGUACUAUUUUACAUAUGAUGCUCAACUAAUAUAAAUAGAAUAAAUAUUUGUAUACUAUUUUACACAAUGUCUAUACUAUGUAUGUAUAGUACUUGAAAAUAUUAGGGGUUGGGUUUAGAGUUUGGGUUUAUGAUUUAGUGGCUAGGGUUUAGGAUGUGGGUUUAGGAUUUGGUGGCUAGAUUUGGAUUUGGGUUUAGGAUUUAGUGGCUAGGGUUUAGAGUUUAGUAAUUAGGGGUUGGGUUUAGAGUUUAGUAUGAUAUUUUCCAUCUUCAUAUAAUAUAGUUAAAUAUCACAAAAUAUUAUAUAUCUUUUUCAGAUUUUAAUUUUAUUUUAAAAUUAUAAAUAUAUAAUAUGUAUGAUUGCUCGUAAUAUAAAAUUAGUUUCAUUUAAAUGUUUGACAAUGUUAGGGUCAUGUUUAGUUCAAGAACGUCUUUUUCAUCAACAAGUACUUUUAUUUUUUCUCGUACUAUUUUACAUAUGAUGCUCAACUAAUAUAAAUAGAAUAAAUAUUUGUAUACUAUUUUACACAAUGUCUAUACUAUGUAUGUAUAGUACUUGAAAAUAUUAGGGGUUGGGUUUAAGUUUAUUGAUUAGGGUUUAAGGUUUAGUGUUCAGAGAUUAGUUUCAGAUUGAGAUAAGUUUUAGUAUCUAGAUUUAAUGAUUUAGUGGCUAGGGUUUAGGAUGUGGGUUUAGGAUUUGGUGGCUAGAUUUGGAUUUGGGUUUAGGAUUUAGUGGCUAGGGUUUAGAGUUUAGUAAUUAGGGGUUGGGUUUAGAGUUUAGUAUGAUAUUUUCCAUCUUCAUAUAAUAUAGUUAAAUAUCACAAAAUAUUAUAUAUCUUUUUCAGAUUUUAAUUUUAUUUUAAAAUUAUAAAUAUAUAAUAUAGUUUACAUUUGAGUUUGGGUUUAGUGAUCCAUUUAGGGUUUAGUAUUUAAAAGUUGGAGUUAGAUUUAGGUUUAUAUUUGAGUUUAUGGUUUAUAUUUGGAUUUAGGGUUUAGUGAUUAGGGUUUAAGGUUUAGUGUUCAGAGAUUAGUUUCAGAUUGAGAUAAGUUUUAGUAUCUAGAUUUAAAGGUUGAUGUAUAAUUAAUAUUUUAUAUUAUUUUGGUAAUAUGAAGUAUAAUUAAUGAAAUGUUUGUGGUUAUUAUGUAUGUGAUGUGGUUGUAUUAUCUUUCUUUUGUUGGUGACAGUUUCCAUUAAUUAUUGGCCACACUUGAAUUUUGUCAACGUCAUCUCUACAUCUUUAAGCCACCAGCAACUUGUAUGAAUCAAGGCUAAAACCGGUGGAA